AUUGAACGCUGGCGGCAUGCCUUACACAUGCAAGUCGAACGGCAGCACGGGAGCAAUCCUGGUGGCGAGUGGCGAACGGGUGAGUAAUAUAUCGGAACGUGCCCAGUGAUGGGGGAUAGCCCGGCGAAAGCCGGAUUAAUACCGCAUACGACCUACGGGUGAAAGCAGGGGAUCGCAAGACCUUGCGUCAUUGGAGCGGCCGAUAUCAGAUUAGCUUGNGGUGGGGUAAAAGCCUACCAAGGCGACGAUCUGUAGCUGGUCUGAGAGGACGACCAGCCACACUGGGACUGAGACACGGCCCAGACUCCUACGGAGGCAGCAGUGGGGAAUUUUGGACAAUGGGCGCAAGCCUGAUCCAGCCAUGCCGCGUGCGGGAAGAAGGCC
This 384-nucleotide ribosomal RNA is filed under the name uncultured bacterium. Its description in RNAcentral is "bacterial SSU rRNA". It matches the Rfam family "Bacterial small subunit ribosomal RNA", at positions 29 to 416 of the family's 1533-position model. The record is from RNAcentral.